This 254-nucleotide ribosomal RNA is filed under the name uncultured bacterium. Its description in RNAcentral is "partial 16S ribosomal RNA". It matches the Rfam family "Bacterial small subunit ribosomal RNA", at positions 524 to 778 of the family's 1533-position model. The record is from RNAcentral.
GACAGAGGAUGCAAGCGUUAUCCGGAAUGAUUGGGCGUAAAGCGUCUGUAGGUGGCUUUCUAAGUCUGCCGUUAAAUCCCAGAGCUUAACUCUGGUCAAGCGGUAGAAACUAGCAAGCUAGAGUACGGUAGGGCAGAGGGAAUUUCCGGUGGAGCGGUGAAAUGCGUAGAGAUCGGAAAGAACACCAAAGGCGAAGGCACUUUGCUGGACCGACACUGACACUCAGAGACGAGAGCUAGGGGAGCGAAAGUGGG